AAAAAAAAAACGUGAGUAACCUGCCCUUGACUUUGGGAUAACUUCAGGAAACUGGGGCUAAUACCGGAUAGGAGCUCCUGCUGCAUGGUUGGGGUUGGAAAGUUUCGGCGGUUUGGGAUGGACUCGCUGCUUAUCAGCUUUUUGGUGGGGUAGUGGCUUACCAAGGCUUUGACGGGUAGCCGGCCUGAGAGGGUGACCGGCCAAAUUGGGACUGAGAUACGGCCAAGACUCCUACGGGAGGAAGCAGUGGGGAAUAGUGCAAAAUGGGCGGAAGCCUGAUGCAGCAACGCCUUUUUUUUUAAAUGGGCCGGCGGCCACCAAAAUCUACACUCGUU
This 335-nucleotide ribosomal RNA is filed under the name uncultured bacterium. Its description in RNAcentral is "partial 16S ribosomal RNA". The stretch from base 1 to 291 matches the Rfam family "Bacterial small subunit ribosomal RNA", at positions 100 to 398 of the family's 1533-position model. The record is from RNAcentral.